CUUUAACGCGUUAUUAAUGAAGAAGCCCACUCGGUCGUAUAUGACUUGAACCAAGGAGAGCCUUCCUACUGUACUGUAGGAGCUGGUAGAGUGUUUGUGUGUCUGCACAGCUGUAAAGUUAGUCGGCCUGCUCAAGAACCUCCUCUUCACACAACACCAAAACAUGUCAAACCUCAGCGAGGACCACCGGCGUGUUCUGCAGCAUGCGAUAAGCUCCAUACGUCAGACACGAUAGUGUCGGGAGUCCCAGUAAGAAUGUGGCCCUUCCACUCUGC
This is a long non-coding RNA of Phycodurus eques (leafy seadragon), 275 nucleotides long. RefSeq lists it as uncharacterized. NCBI's taxonomy places the organism in Eukaryota, Metazoa, Chordata, Actinopteri, Syngnathiformes, Syngnathidae. The record is from RefSeq and is a predicted model, not a curated record. The transcript has 3 exons.